Molecule: long non-coding RNA, 445 nt
Organism: Apis cerana (Asiatic honeybee)
Lineage: Eukaryota; Metazoa; Arthropoda; Insecta; Hymenoptera; Apidae
Source: RefSeq, a predicted model, not a curated record
GAAUACUAUUCUUUCCAGUCAAAGAAAUAAUGAAAUCUUUGAUGUACACAUCUGCUUCACCAUUAAUAUUUGUUUGAAUAUUACCUAAAUCACCAACAUGUCUUAUUAAGCUAUUUGGUCCACCAUGGGUAACCUAAAAUGAUUAAAAUGUGAGCCAGUAGAUGUGCAACCAUUUUGUAAAUUUCCUUUUUCAUGUAUAUGAAAACCAUGUAACCCAUUCAUUGAAAGUCCACAUAUUUUUCCAGUAAUAACAACAGAAUUAUCAUCAUUUUGAACAAUAGUUAGUUUACCCGUUACGUUUCUGUUUUGAGCAUUAUGAGGUAUCAAGUCGACGUUUGCAAAUAAUUUUUUCUGUUUUUCGUGAUAAUAAAUAUUUAUGUUAUUACGGUUUGCAAAUAAGUUUAUAUACUAUUAUAUAAAAAUUAAAUAAAAAAUUAUAUAAAAA